UAUCCAUAGUUUAUCAACAAAGCGAGAAUUUGGAGGUGAGAGGUCCCCCAAACCAGUGGUCACGUGAUCAGGACCUUUUAGCAGUGGUUCUCCAACUGCAGAAUGUAGAAGGACCACUAGGAAUUUAGUUGAUUCCUGCUCCUUGCCUUCCUCCCUUGGACAUUCUGAUUCUAGGUCUCUGGGUGGGACUCUGGAACCGGCAUGAGUAACAGUCUCCAGGGGAUUCUGAUGCAAGUGAUCUUGCUACUCUAAGCAACAACUCUCCACUGAAAGCUGACUCAAGCAUCUGUAAUACCUUCCAGGGUUUUCCUGAAUACAAAUAUAUAGAAGAUUCAUACAUUGGGUCCUCACUGAGAUGCCUUUGGGAACUCUUAGACAACUCAAGUUCCCUCUCUCAGAAAAGUCUGAAGGCAGCCCAGAAUUCCUGACAGCCACACACAAGGACCGAACACACGCCAUGUGCCAGGAGCAGGGAUUGCAGAGCCAACAAGACUCCACGCAGGCCGCCAGGCUUGCCCAGGCUCCUGUCUCUGAAGAAGACAGUUAUUCCUAAGCACCAACAGCCACAGGGGAUCGUUGGCUGAGGGUCUACAGGAGACUUACAGUUUACUCCUCGACGAAAGGACUUGUGGGAGCGUGGUCAGCAGCGACACCCCUGCAGAAAGGCCGGUCCUCCCCCAGCCCAGCCGGUCUAGCCACCCUGACAGCCACGCUCACUCCUCCGAACCUCCCAGGCAGCAGCUUGGCCGACCCUGAGGCUCUGUGAGGCCUGUGUUGCCAGCUUGCCUUCUUCCUCUGCCCUGUCCUGCUUCCUCCCCCUUCCUCUCCCAGGACUCCAUCCCUAAUAAACAUCUUGCACCUCUAACUCCAUCUCAGAGUCUGCUUUUGGAGAAGCCUG
Molecule: long non-coding RNA, 898 nt
Filed under: Equus caballus (horse)
Lineage: Eukaryota; Metazoa; Chordata; Mammalia; Perissodactyla; Equidae
Description: lncRNA (ENSECAG00000040339.3)
Source: RNAcentral